Molecule: long non-coding RNA, 679 nt
Organism: Peromyscus eremicus (cactus mouse)
Lineage: Eukaryota; Metazoa; Chordata; Mammalia; Rodentia; Cricetidae
Exons: 3
Source: RefSeq, a predicted model, not a curated record
UUCUCUUGAGACACUGUCUCUCACAGGACUGGAAGCCUACUAUUUCAGUAAGGCUGACUCUCCAGUGAACUCUCAAGAUCCUUCUAUCACCAUCUGCUGAUGCUGUAGUUACAGGCAUGUGCAGUCAUACCCAGAGGAGUUCAUUUCCCACUGUCUUCAUUAAUAAACACUAAUGACUGAAGAACUUCCCAGUAAUACCAUGUUGGGGCUAAGAGGAGAGACUGAUGAAGUCUUUGCAUCAUUAUCAAGCAUCUGGGGACCAGAGUGGUGGGAUGUGGGCUCCCAGAGGAUCAGAUGGAGAAGAAACAAUCAGAUGUCUAUUUCACCCCUCCAAGAUUUGGGGAGCAUCAUGGAAGGUAGUCAGAGAAGAAUGGAAAAAUCUGGAGGAAAGGAUGGAGUGUUGUGAACUAUUUUGUCAGCAUGGAAACAUUCCCUAUUGAAAGGAGGUGAGAUGCUUAAGUCUUAGAAAGUAAGGAAACUUAGAAGACUCAGAAAGCUCCUAAAUUUAUAAAAUUGGUAAGACUCCUGUCCAACGACACAUAAGCAAUAAUAACUGCUGAGGAAAAGAAAAUUCCCAGCCAGCUGAAUUGUCUACAAAUUAUUCGGGGAAUUCCAAGCUUAAAACUUUCAGUUACCCAUGCUUCUGUAACUCUAAUAAACACACCGUUUCCCUACUUAA